CGUGCCUAAUACAUGCAAGUCGAGCGAACGGACGAGAAGCUUGCUUCUCUGAUGUUAGCGGCGGACGGGUGAGUAACACGUGGAUAACCUACCUAUAAGACUGGGAUAACUUCGGGAAACCGGAGCUAAUACCGGAUAAUAUUUUGAACCGCAUGGUUCAAAAGUGAAAGACGGUCUUGCUGUCACUUAUAGAUGGAUCCGCGCUGCAUUAGCUAGUUGGUAAGGUAACGGCUUACCAAGGCAACGAUGCAUAGCCGACCUGAGAGGGUGAUCGGCCACACUGGAACUGAGACACGGUCCAGACUCCUACGGGAGGCAGCAGUAGGGAAUCUUCCGCAAUGGGCGAAAGCCUGACGGAGCAACGCCGCGUGAGUGAUGAAGGUCUUCGGAUCGUAAAACUCUGUUAUUAGGGAAGAACAUAUGUGUAAGUAACUGUGCACAUCUUGACGGUACCUAAUCAGAAAGCCACGGCUAACUACGUGCCAGCAGCCGCGGUAAUACGUAGGUGGCAAGCGUUAUCCGGAAUUAUUGGGCGUAAAGCGCGCGUAGGCGGUUUUUUAAGUCUGAUGUGAAAGCCCACGGCUCAACCGUGGAGGGUCAUUGGAAACUGGAAAACUUGAGUGCAGAAGAGGAAAGUGGAAUUCCAUGUGUAGCGGUGAAAUGCGCAGAGAUAUGGAGGAACACCAGUGGCGAAGGCGACUUUCUGGUCUGUAACUGACGCUGAUGUGCGAAAGCGUGGGGAUCAAACAGGAUUAGAUACCCUGGUAGUCCACGCCGUAAACGAUGAGUGCUAAGUGUUAGGGGGUUUCCGCCCCUUAGUGCUGCAGCUAACGCAUUAAGCACUCCGCCUGGGGAGUACGACCGCAAGGUUGAAACUCAAAGGAAUUGACGGGGACCCGCACAAGCGGUGGAGCAUGUGGUUUAAUUCGAAGCAACGCGAAGAACCUUACCAAAUCUU
Molecule: ribosomal RNA, 958 nt
Filed under: Staphylococcus aureus
Lineage: Bacteria; Bacillati; Bacillota; Bacilli; Caryophanales; Staphylococcaceae
Description: bacterial SSU rRNA
Rfam family: Bacterial small subunit ribosomal RNA
Source: RNAcentral